GACUAUGGCCAUGCCACCCUGAACAAGCCUGAUCCCAUCUGGUCUUGGAAGCUAAGCAGGAUCAGGCCUGGUUAGUACUUGGAUGGGAGACCACUUAGGAAGACUGGGUGCUAUAGGCG
RNAcentral lists this ribosomal RNA (119 nucleotides) under Pteropus alecto (black flying fox). The record is from RNAcentral. Lineage: Eukaryota; Metazoa; Chordata; Mammalia; Chiroptera; Pteropodidae.